GUGCUCACUUUGACAGCACAUAUACUAAAAUUGGAACAAUACAGAGAAGAUUAGUAUGGCUCCUGUGCAAGGAUGACAUGCAUAUUUGUGAAGCGUUCCACAUUUUG
This is a small nuclear RNA of Prionailurus viverrinus (fishing cat), 107 nucleotides long. Lineage: Eukaryota; Metazoa; Chordata; Mammalia; Carnivora; Felidae. The record is from RefSeq and is a predicted model, not a curated record.